AACGAACGCUGGCGGCGUGGAUAAGACAUGCAAGUCGAGCGAUUAUCACGGGGUAGCAAUAUUCUGUGGUGAGAGCGGCGCAAGGGUGCGUAACACGUGGGCAAUCUGCCAUGAAGUUUGGGAUAACUCGCUGAAAGGCGAGCUAAUACCGGAUGUGACUGUUGGGAGGCAUCUUCUGACAGUUAAAGCUGGGGACCGUAAGGCCUGGCGCUUCUUGAUGAGCCCGCGGCCUAUCAGCUAGUUGGUGAGGUAACGGCUCACCAAGGCUAAGACGGGUAGCUGGUCUGAGAGGACGACCAGCCACACUGGAACUGAGACACGGUCCAGACACCUACGGGUGGCAG
RNAcentral lists this ribosomal RNA (344 nucleotides) under uncultured Verrucomicrobiota bacterium. RNAcentral describes it as "bacterial SSU rRNA". It matches the Rfam family "Bacterial small subunit ribosomal RNA", at positions 29 to 351 of the family's 1533-position model. The record is from RNAcentral. Lineage: Bacteria; Pseudomonadati; Verrucomicrobiota.